RNAcentral lists this long non-coding RNA (4201 nucleotides) under Nicotiana benthamiana. Its description in RNAcentral is "long non-coding RNA (NBEN_LNC007276)". The record is from RNAcentral. Lineage: Eukaryota; Viridiplantae; Streptophyta; Magnoliopsida; Solanales; Solanaceae.
CAAGUUUAUUCUAGGCGUAGCCCCUAGCAUGUAAAAGGCGAACGACUCUUGCUCAACUAAGCAGCUGACGUGAGUUCAAGAGGCUGGCCUUCAACUCGACUGACCUGUUCAUUCAGCAAGUCUGUCAAAAUUUUCAGUAAGUUUUUGUCUAUUUUGGGUAUUAACAAAGGGUUACUGGACAUCAUCACUGUUCAAAUCUUGAUUGAUAUUGGUAGUACCCUUAAAUUUUUUCUAUAGUACCUUUCUGAAGCAUUCAAGUGCAAUAACAUCCCAAAAGAACAGUCUGCAAGUGUUGUUAAUGGCACUGGUAUGUAGGUUUCUGAAUCAUGUUCUAGAUUCCAACAUAUGUUGCAGGUGUCUUUCUCUGCAGAUUUUGUUAUACCAUCUUGAGGGACCAGUUAUGUGGAGCUAGGUGUUCAAUGCUUGCUGAACCUCGGUGCUACUAAAAUGAAUUUCACUAGGUAAUUCAUCAUCUAUGCUAGCAAUAAACAUGUACUGGGAGGAGCAAUUUGUAAGGCGAGGUUUGCAGGAGAAAAACUUUCCAAAGAAGGGGCAUAAUUGCAUAUUAGGCAUCUGGUAAACACUUAUCAGUCUACACAACCCACAGUACAGCUUCAUUCUUCUGAAAUCAUAGUUGAUAGUGAUGGACAUUACUAGUUACAUAAAUUGUUAAUAAGGUUCAAAGUUACAUCUGUAGAAAAUGCUGGAUUACUAUCAUUUAGAGGUGUAUUUGACGAUAAAGUAGCUCUACAGUCAAACAACCUACCUGUAAAGCAAAGACCUUAGAGAUAUCCUAUAUGCAGGCCAUUAAGGAAAAGUGUCACAUCCCUAUCAUCGAAGACCUAUUGGUUGAAUUAGGUGGAGCAAGGUCUUACCUAGAAUAGACUUGAGGUAUAGGUGCAACUAAUUGAGCAUGUCAUCUCAGGAUGCACCCAAAUCUGCAUAUAAAACUCAUUCAAGGCAUUUUUUUUUAAGUUCAAGGCAUUAUGAGUAUUUGGUCAUGCUUUUGAACUGACCAAUGCACCUAUAUCCUUUCAAGGUUAAUGAAUUCAGCUUUUAGUAAUGUUUGCACAAAUUUAUAUUGAUUGUCUUUGAUGACAUUAGUAGUAGUUCGCAAGAAUGUUGGCAGGAAUAAGCUUGGACUUUAUUUGAGGACUUACCUCAUUUCGGGGUUGCCUGUAAGCAGGCUACUGGGAAGAGGACAAAGAAGAUGAUAAGAAAAAUGCAUAAGCAUGAACUGACGAAGAAGGCAUUUGAGAGCUCAAACGUUCACUAGUGAAAGUUCGUCAAAGAAGGGAGAGCAGCGUUUAUAUACAAUAAGCACCCCCUGCCCUCCUUGUUCAUUUAUUUCAAGUGCGAAGAGUCAAGUAUUUCCCUACCUUGUUAUUUUUUUAGAAGAAUGGCACUGGUAUAUUCCUAAAAAGGGGAUUCUCGGAGCCUUCUUGGAUAACCUUUUUCUGGAUAGUCAGACCGCUAGUUUUUCUCGAUUAAGCAGUUUCUACGAGACCUUUGGCUAAGCAACGAAGAAAGAUUGUAGGAGAGAGGCUAUGACAAGUAUAAGCGGACACCCACUAUUGGAGAUUAUCGUAAAAAUUGCAGGGCGCCCCCUUUUAACCUCUAGCCGCUUUGUCUUUUUUGUUUGCAUCCAUACUCACUUUUUAAAAAAUUUCAGCUUCCCUUUCUCCUCCCCUUACAACAUAGAAAGUUCAGCUUUAGAGUUGAAGUUUUCCAGUUACUACACAAAAACUUCAGCUCUAGAGCUGAAGUUUUUAUUUUAUAAGUUGAAAGAGCUGAAGUUUUUAUUUUAUAACUGGAAAACUUAAGCUGGAAACUGCUUAAGUUUUUAUUUUAUAACUAGAAAACUUAAACUCUAGAGCUUAAGUUUUUAUUUUAUAACUGGAAAACUUAAGGUGGAAAACUGCUUAAGUUUUUCGGUUACAAUGACAAUAACUUCAGCUUAAGUUUUCCAGUACUAAAGAAAAACUUCAGCCCGUAGGCUGAAGUUAUGUGAAAAAGCAGGUACGAUUGCAAUUUUUUUUGCAAAGUGGGCACAAGCUAAAAUGUGGCACAAAAAACAGGUAUAGAUGCAAAUGCCCCGAGAUUAUCCGAAUGAGACUUUGGAACUUAAUUUGAUGUUGUUGUGCGUAGUUUAAGUCAAAUGAACUAAGGAUGGAAAACAAUAAAAUUUAGAGCUAAUUGAAUCGAAAUAUGUGAAAUAGAUUCAUUAGAUAUAGUUUAAUUAAACACUACUAUAUAGCAUAGAGUCAUCACCACAUUUUCCCCCUUAAUACAACACAAUCCACAGUGUAAAGAAAGACACAAGGAAAAUGUUGAAAAAACGUAUCAUAAUAUCACUUUCUUCCCUUUUAUUCUUUCAUAACGUCACAGUUAUUCCACCAAACCACCUGUCUUAUAGAGCAGCCAACAACUCUUUGUUACAUAUGUUAUAAACUGAAUUACCAUAUCAACUGCUCGCGCCAGCGACUUUAUCAAGACAAUCGCUGGCAAUGCCUUCAGCCCAAUUCUGAAAUUUCUGAAAGGCAGGGUCAUCUCCAUACAUCUCGGCAGCACAGUCUUUGCAAGUCUCAAUGAAUGAGGUCAUGGCACUAAUAUCCACAUUAGCUUUGAAGUAAUUUCCAAAAUUGACAUCUUCUGUGGCCUUCGUCAUGGAAUCCAUGGCAUCUUCGUAAACUUCCUUGCAUGUCUCUAGGCAAUCCUUAUGAUUGCUGUCCAUCUUUUUAUCAGCCAGCCUUUUAUCAAUGACAUUUUUGAUGAAUUCCUCGGUCUUGGUCAUGGUACCAACCAUACUUGCUUUGACAAAUGAAGGAAUAUCACUUGCUUUGGCUACUAGAGGUUUUGUGGGUAUAUCAAAGAUUUGAGAAGAGGAGACAGAUGAUGAAUCUGAGGAUGAAUCUAAGGAUGGUGAUGGUGAGAGAGAUGUCGAUGGGUACCCAUAUGCCUUAGAGGGAAGAAUUGCUAGGAAGAAAGAAAUGGCAAUAACAACAAGCAUAGUUUGUGUUUGGAGGGCCAUUGCUUUUUUCCUAUUCGUUGUUUUAUCGUAGAAAGAAGGAGAAAACCAACCGGAUAAGGGUAAAUGAUAUGAGGAAAGUGGGGUAAUAUAUAUAUAUAUUAAAAAUUUUACUAGCUAGUGGCUAUGCUUAAAUAUAGAUUGUCUAAAUAUAUAUAUAGCAACUAACCUUCAUUCACUGGUUCAUUUUAAAGUUGCUGGUUCUAAGGAAUUUAACACCUCUCUUUCUAGUUUAUUCUCUAUAAGAAAGCUUUGCCUGACACAUGUUAAUGCAUAUACUAUGGCUUGAAAAGCUCAAAAUGAUAGAACAAUUAUUUUAAUUUCCGUAACAAUAACCUCCCACGUGAUUUAUAUAUUACGUCCACCUCCUUUACUUUGAUUCAUAACAAUUUUUUUUAAUCUAUUUAUUAUAUAAUUAAUGUUAAAAAAAAUUGCAGCAUGACAACUUUACCCUUAGUAAUAUACUCAACCAGUAAUUUGCAAAUAAUAAAAGAAGAUUUAUAAAUAUAAAUAAACUAAUUAUAAUAUCAAGUCAUUACUGCAUAUACGAGCAAUCCCUGCGUCUUAGUUUGAAGACAUGCGAGUUCUAAAAGGAGCUGCGAGCAUAAGUCGAGGUUCAGGUUCAAGUUUAUGUCAUCAUGUGUGUAUGCCAAAUUAGGUAAAACUAAUUGCCUCCUGCUUGAAAGACGAAUUUUUUUUAUAGGAUGGUUAAAGAUUAACAAUUUGUGUUCAUGAAAGACAUGGAUUCAUUCUGUAGGAAGAAACUUGAGAAUUCAAUAGUUUCCUUUGGUUUAGUUGUAUACAGCUAAAACAGGUCCUAUCUGAUUUUACUGUUUGAUCUAGGCCAGGGAAUUGCAUCGAACGCCGCCUCGUAGGGGACCAGACAAGAGCACAAGGACAAGGUAUCAAGUUCGAGGAUCGAGAUGCCUAUCGAGAUCGGGUCCAGCAACAAUCGAGAUCAGAUAUGGAAGACUUCGAGCAAAGUCAAUAGCGGAAAAGCGAGAUAUUUGUGACCCGUCAAAGAUCACGUCGGAAAUUCCGGAACAACUCAAAUCAAGGGCGGUUGUUUAGGCUAAUCAUAAGAUUUACUUUCAUAAUUAGAAUUGUACCAUGAUAGGAUUCCUCUACUAUAUAAAGAGGGUGCUUAUCAUUUUGUAAACACUUUACUUUCAC